AGCGAAAUAAUAGUAGCGAAGUUCCUGAUGUCACACUGCCAAGAAAAGCUUCUAGUGAGAAAACAACUGCCCGUACCGUAAACCGACACAGGUAGUCGAGGAGAGUAUCCUAAGGUGAGCGAGCGAACUCUCGUUAAGGAACUCGGCAAAAUGACCCCGUAACUUCGGGAGAAGGGGUGCUGACUUCGGUCAGCCGCAGUGAAUAGGCCCAAGCGACUGUUUAUCAAAAACACAGGUCUCUGCAAAAUCGUAAGAUGAAGUAUAGGGGCUGACGCCUGCCCGGUGCUGGAAGGUUAAGAGGAUGGGUUAGCUUCGGCGAAGCUCAGAAUUGAAGCCCCAGUAAACGGCGGCCGUAACUAUAACGGUCCUAAGGUAGCGAAAUUCCUUGUCGGGUAAGUUCCGACCCGCACGAAAGGCGUAACGAUUUGGGCA
Molecule: ribosomal RNA, 432 nt
Filed under: Enterococcus faecalis
Lineage: Bacteria; Bacillati; Bacillota; Bacilli; Lactobacillales; Enterococcaceae
Description: partial 23S ribosomal RNA
Rfam family: Bacterial large subunit ribosomal RNA
Source: RNAcentral